AAUGGUCACAACAGUGCAAUACUGGAAGAGAUGCAGGAACAAGAAAACUAUCUGAGUGGCCAGCCGGGGGCAGGGAGAAGGACACGGAGCAAGAGCAGGGGAUAAUCCUACAGAGAGGAAAAAAGUACACACUGCUCAAAGUUCAGCAAGACAGUGACAGCUUUAAAUACACAAUCACCCUAAUGAAGUGGUACGGUUAAUGUACUACUCAUCCUUACAAACCUCUCACAAAUUUAGU
Long non-coding RNA from Pezoporus occidentalis (night parrot), 238 nucleotides. RefSeq lists it as uncharacterized. The transcript is spliced from 3 exons. Lineage: Eukaryota; Metazoa; Chordata; Aves; Psittaciformes; Psittacidae. The record is from RefSeq and is a predicted model, not a curated record.